Molecule: ribosomal RNA, 253 nt
Filed under: uncultured bacterium
Lineage: Bacteria
Description: partial 16S ribosomal RNA
Rfam family: Bacterial small subunit ribosomal RNA
Source: RNAcentral
UACAGAGGGUGCUAGCGUUAAUCGGAAUUACUGGGCGUAAAGCGCAUGUAGGUGGGUAUUUAAGUCGGAUGUGAAAGCCCCGGGCUCAACCUGGGAAUCGCAUUCGAUACUGAAUAUCUAGAGUAUGGUAGAGGGAAGUGGAAUUUCCGGUGUAGCGGUGAAAUGCGUAGAUAUCGGAAGGAACAUCAGUGGCGAAGGCGGCUUCCUGGAUUAAUACUGACACUAAAGUGCGAAAGCGUGGGGAGCAAACAGG